CCUUGUACACACCGCCCGUCACACCACGAAAGUUGGCAAUACCCGAAGCCGGUGAGCUAACCCCUCGGGGAGGUAGCCGUCGAAGGUAGGGUUGAUGAUUGGGGUG
This 106-nucleotide ribosomal RNA is filed under the name uncultured bacterium. Its description in RNAcentral is "partial 16S ribosomal RNA". It matches the Rfam family "Bacterial small subunit ribosomal RNA", at positions 1379 to 1482 of the family's 1533-position model. The record is from RNAcentral.